Long non-coding RNA from Crotalus tigris (Tiger rattlesnake), 841 nucleotides. RefSeq lists it as uncharacterized. The record is from RefSeq and is a predicted model, not a curated record. The transcript is spliced from 2 exons. NCBI's taxonomy places the organism in Eukaryota, Metazoa, Chordata, Lepidosauria, Squamata, Viperidae.
GUUUAUUUCUUUUGGUGGCCGCAAUACCCGCUUUUGACCACAGGAGGGCAGAGUUUUCCGUCCCGUAGCAUUAACGUCGAGGCCUUUUGCCCAGCAUCGGGACACCGAGAAGCUAAGCCGCGAAGCGCAGAGCGUCGCCGCUCUAUGCUCCUCCGAAAGGGACGGGCCGCUUCCCUCGGCCUUCGGCGCAUGUCCGCCGGCUGGUUCUUCGCCAGCAAUCUCUCAGAGGCCUUCUCGGCGAUGGCGGACUUCCUGUCCCUCGCUAUCGGCCGCCGCCCGGGUCCUGUGAGAAAAGGACCUUUCCAAGAUGGCCGACUUCCGGCCCUUCGUUCUGAAUCGUUCCCCCGAUUUCCUUUCCCAGAAGACCUUCUCUGUAUGGCGGACUUUCCGUCCGAUCCAAUCUGCCGUCCACCGGGGCCUUUGCAAAACGCCCUUUCCCGUCGUGGUGGUGGUGGAAGGAGGGAAGGAGGGAAGGAGAUGGGCGAGCGGGCCGGGUUGUAUCACACUCUGCCUUUGUCCCAAAGCACAGGAGAAAUUUAAGCGGCUCGCGUUAACACCGAAUAAAAUGGGAUGAGCAGAAAGGAGACGGUAAGAAAGUUUUAAAGUAAUCAAAUGACCUAAAAAGGGGCCAGCCCUCUUUUACAUCGAAAUUGAAAGACUGAAAGGAAGUUGGGGGCAACUGAAGGGAACGUGGAUGGCUUCGUGAACUGGUCCUUUACUAUCGCCAAAGGCUCGCUUCUUUUCGUGAGCUACUGAGCUUGCAGAGGUCUAUAUCCUGCCUUUUCUAAAGGAAGGGCAGAAUUCUCACCUUCCGUAUGAAUAAAGGAUGUUUCCGAUCUGA